CCUACGGGAGGCAGCAGUGAGGAAUAUUGGUCAAUGGGCGCGAGCCUGAACCAGCCAAGUAGCGUGAAGGAUGACUGCCCUACGGGUUGUAAACUUCUUUUAUAAAGGAAUAAAGUGAGGCACGUGUGCCUUUUUGUAUGUACUUUAUGAAUAAGGAUCGGCUAACUCCGUUCCAGCAGCCGCGGUAAUACGGAGGAUCCGAGCGUUAUCCGGAUUUAUUGGGUUUAAAGGGAGCGUAGAUGGGUUGUUAAGUAAGUUGGGAAAGUUUGGGGCUCAACCGUAAAAUUGCAAUGGAUACUGGCAGUCUUGAGUACAGUUGAAGCAGGCGGAAUUCGUGGUGUAGCGGUGAAAUGCUUAGAUAUCACGAAGAACCACGAUUGCGAAGGCAGCUUACUAAACUGUGACUGACACUGAUGCUCGAAAGUGUGGGUAUCAAACAGGAUUAGAUACCCGAGUAGUC
Molecule: ribosomal RNA, 460 nt
Filed under: uncultured bacterium
Lineage: Bacteria
Description: partial 16S ribosomal RNA
Rfam family: Bacterial small subunit ribosomal RNA
Source: RNAcentral